This 457-nucleotide ribosomal RNA is filed under the name uncultured bacterium. RNAcentral describes it as "bacterial SSU rRNA". It matches the Rfam family "Bacterial small subunit ribosomal RNA", at positions 340 to 786 of the family's 1533-position model. The record is from RNAcentral.
UACGGAAGGCAGCAGUGGGGAAUAUUGCACAAUGGGCGCAAGCCUGAUGCAGCCAUGCCGCGUGUAUGAAGAAGGCCUUCGGGUUGUAAAGUACUUUCAGCGGGGAGGAAGGCGGUGGAGUUAAUAGCUUCACCGAUUGACGUUACCCGCAGAAGAAGCACCGGCUAACUCCGUGCCAGCAGCCGCGGUAAUACGGAGGGUGCAAGCGUUAAUCGGAAUUACUGGGCGUAAAGCGCACGCAGGCGGUCUGUCAAGUCGGAUGUGAAAUCCCCGGGCUUAACCUGGGAACUGCAUUCGAAACUGGCAGGCUAGAGUCUUGUAGAGGGGGUAGAAUUCCAGGUGUAGCGGUGAAAUGCGUAGAGAUCUGGAGGAAUACCGGGUGGCGAAGGCGGGCCCCUGGGACAAAGACUGACGCUCAGGUGCGAAAGCGUGGGGAGCAAACAGGGAUUAGGAUACC